Long non-coding RNA from Lytechinus variegatus (green sea urchin), 228 nucleotides. RefSeq lists it as uncharacterized. Lineage: Eukaryota; Metazoa; Echinodermata; Echinoidea; Temnopleuroida; Toxopneustidae. The record is from RefSeq and is a predicted model, not a curated record. The transcript is spliced from 2 exons.
GUGAGAUCCGUGUUGGCGCCUUGGGCAUCCUUGGAGGUCCGGGGUGGUCCGUGUUGGUCCUUGAACGUCCGGGAGGCCAACACGGCAGUUUUUGACUGUCAAAAACAUCCGGCGUCAUCCGUGGACUGCCGGGUUGGCAAAGCCAUCCGGGAUGGUCCGUGUAGGUCCGUGUAGCUGCCGUGUAGGUCCGUGUGGCUGCCUGGAGUAUCCUUGGCAGUCCGUGUUCUU